CGGAAGAUACAACAAGCACGCGGCAAUUGCUUAGAGACAUCCACAGGACAUGCGACAAACACAGAUACCUAGUAAAGAACAUUGCAUAUUGGAGGAGACUGAAAAGGAUUUUUAAGGGCUUGCCAUACGGCGUAAUCUAGAUCGUUCUAACCGACAGCGGAAGAUACAACAAGCUCAGAAUAGCUUGGAGACAUCCACAGGCCAUGGGACAAACACAGAUACCUAGAAAGGAUGAUUGCACCCUUGAGGAGACCACAUAGGAUUCUUAAGGUUCUGUAUCAUUAAAGAGGCUGCAUAAACUUCAUCCAGUCACCUUAAAUGGCAGCUGCUGUACCGUCGCCCCUAGUCAGCAGCGCAGAGAAGACAAACGGAGCCAAGCUGAGCAGACUUCUGAUAGAUGGCGGAACAACGGUUCUGAGGAACGCUUUUGAUAACUACCAUCCUCCUGCAAAUCUGGCUGCUGAUCUUAACGUGCAAUUUAAAACCCUGCGAAGUCUCCUGCGUCGACGAAUCCUCAAUAAAUGCCAAUGGGAUAAACUGUUCCCUUCUAGUGGAGCCAAGCCAGACUCCAACUCUUUCGACAUCACUCUUCUAUUCUUGCUUUUGACUAACAUUUGUGGAUUAUCCCCUCCUCUGUCAGGUUGGCACACCAAGCCACCCCCAAGUGACACCUCCUUUGAGGCAAACCUUGCUCGCAUUAAGUUUUUCCGCAAUG
Long non-coding RNA from Orbicella faveolata, 715 nucleotides. The record is from RefSeq and is a predicted model, not a curated record. NCBI's taxonomy places the organism in Eukaryota, Metazoa, Cnidaria, Anthozoa, Scleractinia, Merulinidae.